RNAcentral lists this small nuclear RNA (172 nucleotides) under Sarcophilus harrisii (Tasmanian devil). RNAcentral describes it as "U2 spliceosomal RNA (ENSSHAG00000023465.1)". It matches the Rfam family "U2 spliceosomal RNA". Rfam says of the family: U2 is a small nuclear RNA (snRNA) component of the spliceosome (involved in pre-mRNA splicing). Lineage: Eukaryota; Metazoa; Chordata; Mammalia; Dasyuromorphia; Dasyuridae. The record is from Rfam by way of RNAcentral.
UUCGCUUCUCGGCCUUUUUAAGAUCAAUGUAGUAUCUGCUUAUCAGUUUAAUAUCGAUACGUCCCUAUCUGAGGACAAUAAUUAAAUGGUUUUUUGAUCCAGGAGAUGGAAUAGAGCUUUUGUCCACUCCACGCAUCGACCCAAUUGCAGUACUUUUGGGAAUGCAUUUUCC